RNAcentral lists this transfer RNA (85 nucleotides) under Clostridiales bacterium. RNAcentral's name for it is "tRNA-Leu". It matches the Rfam family "tRNA". Rfam says of the family: Transfer RNA (tRNA) molecules are approximately 80 nucleotides in length. Their secondary structure includes four short double-helical elements and three loops (D, anti-codon, and T loops). Lineage: Bacteria; Bacillati; Bacillota; Clostridia; Eubacteriales. The record is from RNAcentral.
GCCGGUGUGAUGGAAUAGGUAGACGUGCUUGACUCAAAAUCAAGUGCCGCAAGGCGUGCCGGUUCGAGUCCGGCCACCGGCACCA